GUGGGGAAUAUUGGACAAUGGGCGCAAGCCUGAUCCAGCAAUGCCGCGUGGGUGAAGAAGGCCUUAGGGUUGUAAAGCUCUUUCACCGAUGAAGAUAAUGACGGUAGUCGGAGAAGAAGCCCCGGCUAACUUCGUGCCAGCAGCCGCGGUAAUACGAAGGGGGCUAGCGUUGUUCGGAUUUACUGGGCGUAAAGCGCACGUAGGCGGUUUGUUAAGUCAGGGGUGAAAUCCCGGAGCUCAACUCCGGAACUGCCUUUGAUACUGGCAAGCUAGAGUCCGGAAGAGGUAAGUGGAACUCCUAGUGUAGAGGUGGAAUUCGUAGAUAUUAGGAAGAACACCAGUGGCGAAGGCGGCUUACUGGUCCGGAACUGACGCUGAGGUGCGAAAGCGUGGGGAGCAAACAGGAUUAGAAACCCGGGUAGUCC
RNAcentral lists this ribosomal RNA (425 nucleotides) under uncultured bacterium. RNAcentral's name for it is "partial 16S ribosomal RNA". It matches the Rfam family "Bacterial small subunit ribosomal RNA", at positions 354 to 796 of the family's 1533-position model. The record is from RNAcentral.